This 818-nucleotide long non-coding RNA is filed under the name Lotus japonicus. Its description in RNAcentral is "long non-coding RNA (LJAP_LNC001187)". The record is from RNAcentral. Lineage: Eukaryota; Viridiplantae; Streptophyta; Magnoliopsida; Fabales; Fabaceae.
GUGAUUAAUGAUAUGAAUUUUUUUUGGUACAUCGAAAACUUAAAAGACAAGAAAAGAAAGACUACAAGGCUAACAAAUCCCUAACCAAGAUGGGAUGAACCUCUUGAAGAGGCACCUCAAGUCGAGUUAAAGCAUAAGGGCUAGCAACUCUCAGGCCUGCAAGACAAUCCGCCACAUCAUUCGCACUCCGGAAAAUAUGCAGAAGCUGAACAUGCCAAUCCUGGUCAAGCAAGCUUCUAAUCUCUAGGAAUUCUAGUGCAAGAUCAUGAAAGUGGAUUUCAUUCCCUUGCAUGGUAUCAACGAUCUCUUUGCAAUCUGUUUCAAUGAUAUGAUUGAAAGAGUAAAAAGAUAUAAAAAUUUAACCAGUAAUUUAAAAAAGAAAAAGUGAAAUAGAUAUGUUAACAAAUCAUAGUUCAAUAAACAUUUUCUUAUUAUAGCCUCUUUUGAAUAUGAAGUUGGAAGUUGGAACAUUCCCUCUAGAAUCACACGCAUUACAUCAUUUUUCAAUGAGCUGUCGCUAGGUUAAGACAUGCAAGAGAUUCACCUAUUUUAGCUAGUAAGUAACAGCCCUGCAGGAUCAAAUUCACACGUUAAUCAUCCUCCCUAUAAAAACAUUUCUAUUUUCCACACAACAAAUCACUCUGUGAGAAACCGUAUCACGGGUCAAUUACCUUCGGGUCCUCCGCCAUGAACGGUACCAACACGCUUGACCUCCCAACUUUGAAGGUGAUCUCCGCCGUCGGACGCGGCGCCAAGGGCGUUGUUUUCCUCGCGAGAACAUGCAGCGGGGCCGCGUCGUCGAACGGGGACGACUGGCU